Phyllostomus discolor (pale spear-nosed bat) is the source of this 104-nucleotide small nuclear RNA. Lineage: Eukaryota; Metazoa; Chordata; Mammalia; Chiroptera; Phyllostomidae. The record is from RefSeq and is a predicted model, not a curated record.
GUGCUUGCGUUGGCAGCACAUACACUGACGCUGGAAAGAUACCGAGAAUAGUGUGGCACCUGUGCAAGAAUGACACGCAAAUUUGUGAAGCAUUCCAUAUUUUU